RNAcentral lists this long non-coding RNA (212 nucleotides) under Elaeis guineensis (African oil palm). RNAcentral describes it as "long non-coding RNA (EGUI_LNC000434)". The record is from RNAcentral. Lineage: Eukaryota; Viridiplantae; Streptophyta; Magnoliopsida; Arecales; Arecaceae.
AAUUGAGGAUUGAAUUUGAGAAAUGGAAAGACACCACAACAAAUUAUAUAGAAACACAAAUAAAAUAUAUCAAAUAAAAAUAAAACUAUAACAUAAUAAAAAUAAAAUGAAGAAUGAAAAUAUAGAGAAUAAGAAUAAAAAAGGAUUAAAUGAGAAAGUAUCAACUAUUGCAAUAACCAUGAAUAUAGAAAGAUGAUACUGAGAGAGGGGAG